CUUCGGAUUGAAGCAACUGUGACUGAGCGGCGGACGGGUGAGUAACGCGUGGGUAACCUACCUCAUACAGGGGGAUAACAGUUGGAAACGGCUGCUAAUACCGCAUAAGCGCACAGUACCGCAUGGUACCGUGUGAAAAACUCCGGUGGUAUGAGAUGGACCCGCGUCUGAUUAGCUAGUUGGUGGGGUAACGGCCUACCAAGGCGACGAUCAGUAGCCGACCUGAGAGGGUGACCGGCCACAUUGGGACUGAGACACGGCCCAAACUCCUACGGGAGGCAGCAGUGGGGAAUAUUGCACAAUGGGGGAAACCCUGAUGCAGCGACGCCGCGUGAGCGAUGAAGUAUUUCGGUAUGUAAAGCUCUAUCAGCAGGGAAGAAAAUGACGGUACCUGACUAAGAAGCCCCGGCUAACUACGUGCCAGCAGCCGCGGUAAUACGUAGGGGGCAAGCGUUAUCCGGAUUUACUGGGUGUAAAGGGAGCGUAGACGGCAUGGCAAGCCAGAUGUGAAAGCCCGGGGCUCAACCCCGGGACUGCAUUUGGAACUGUCAGGCUAGAGUGUCGGAGAGGAAAGCGGAAUUCCUAGUGUAGCGGUGAAAUGCGUAGAUAUUAGGAGGAACACCAGUGGCGAAGGCGGCUUUCUGGACGAUGACUGACGUUGAGGCUCGA
Molecule: ribosomal RNA, 669 nt
Filed under: uncultured Lachnospiraceae bacterium
Lineage: Bacteria; Bacillati; Bacillota; Clostridia; Lachnospirales; Lachnospiraceae
Description: bacterial SSU rRNA
Rfam family: Bacterial small subunit ribosomal RNA
Source: RNAcentral